This 97-nucleotide ribosomal RNA is filed under the name Paenibacillus lignilyticus. Its description in RNAcentral is "partial 23S ribosomal RNA". It matches the Rfam family "Bacterial large subunit ribosomal RNA", at positions 2828 to 2925 of the family's 2925-position model. The record is from RNAcentral. Lineage: Bacteria; Bacillati; Bacillota; Bacilli; Caryophanales; Paenibacillaceae.
GUAAGACCCCUGAAAGACGAUCAGGUUGAUAGGUUCGAGGUGGAAGUGCAGCAAUGCAUGCAGCUGACGAAUACUAAUCGGUCGAGGGCUUAUCCUA